RNAcentral lists this ribosomal RNA (311 nucleotides) under uncultured eukaryote. Its description in RNAcentral is "partial 18S ribosomal RNA". It matches the Rfam family "Eukaryotic small subunit ribosomal RNA", at positions 1470 to 1796 of the family's 1831-position model. The record is from RNAcentral.
CCCUUAGAUGUUCUGGGCCGCACGCGCGCUACAAUAAUACGCACAGCGAGUAUCACCGAGCUCGAAAGGGCAAGGUAAACAAUAGAAAAGGUACUGUAAUGGUUAUAGAUCCUUGUAAUUAUUGAUCUUCAACGAGGAAUUCCUAGUAAGUAUGUGUCAUCAUCACGCACUGAUUACGUCCCUGCCCUUUGUACACACCGCCCGUCGCUCCUACCGAUUGGGUGAGCCGAUGAAACUCUCGGAUGUAGGCUAUUCAUAGCCCGCAGAAGAGAUUUGAAUCGUAGCGCUUAGAGGAAGGAGAAGUCGUAACA